UACGUAGGGUGCAGGCGUUAAUCGGAAUUACUGGGCGUAAAGCGUGCGCAGGCGGUUUGCUAAGACAGGUGUGAAAUCCCCGGGCUUAACCUGGGAACUGCGCUUGUAACUGGCAAGCUAGAGUGUGGCAGAGGGGGGUGGAAUUCCACGUGUAGCAGUGAAAUGCGUAGAGAUGUGGAGGAACACCGAUGGCGAAGGCAGCCCCCUGGGCUAACACUGACGCUCAUGUACGAAAGCGUGGGGAGCAAACAGG
RNAcentral lists this ribosomal RNA (253 nucleotides) under uncultured bacterium. Its description in RNAcentral is "partial 16S ribosomal RNA". It matches the Rfam family "Bacterial small subunit ribosomal RNA", at positions 524 to 776 of the family's 1533-position model. The record is from RNAcentral.